Amphiprion ocellaris (clown anemonefish) is the source of this 2270-nucleotide long non-coding RNA. RefSeq lists it as uncharacterized. The record is from RefSeq and is a predicted model, not a curated record. The transcript has 3 exons. NCBI's taxonomy places the organism in Eukaryota, Metazoa, Chordata, Actinopteri, Pomacentridae.
GGUUGGCACGUCCAGUAGCAUCUCUGGCUGCUGUUGACCUUGUUUUUGGAGUAAAAUACGGUGGAAGCUGAAUUAGUGAGGAUGACUCCUGCUCCUGUCAUCUCUAAGCUCCUCACACAUCUUUACCUGCACAUGAGGAAAAUCACUCCUGUAGAAUGCAGAUGUUCAGAGGGAGAUGAUGCCACAUCUGGUCCAGCUGAUGGAAGGUCUUGAAGUUCUCUGACUGGCCUCGACUGAAGAUGGUCGUCUCACUGGAUUUAAGGUUCAGAUGCUCAGUAACAAACUCCACCAAUGUGCCAACAGGGAAGCUUUAGGUUUAUUAAAUGUUGCUAUGAAGGUAUCGCUGUUUUUCUUUGUGAAUGCAAUGUGCUUCCAACUGAAACUUGAAUUAGAACUUAGAAGUAAAUCCUUCCAUCUGAAAGGAUUUAGUUGCAUUAAUAACCUCAUAACAUUCUAGUUUUUAUUCCAGUCUUGGUUGGAAAUAGAAUCUCUGUAUUGAUUCAGGUAAAAACUGAACUUCACAGCAUGUUGGAGCAAAACAACCAGAUGAAAACUGUGAUGGUGUUGGAUUGUCAGACCGUAAUGUUGCAGCUCAAAGCAGCUUUUCUAUCUCAGUUCAUUCUGACAUUCAGCUAUGAAUCAACACAGCAGAUGGUGAUCCAUGCUGUGGAAGUCUCACAUCUCCUGAUUUAAUGGAGCUGCUUUGCACUUUUUACACUGUUUAUUCACCAACACUUUAUUUAAUAAAAGUCCCAUCUAGUUUUCAUGAGGAAUGUGAUGUUUGAAUUUCUCUGUGAAUAACUGCAGUCUAAUGUAACAGCUGGAGUUGUAACAUCUGUCCUGAUAUUGAUCAUGAAGUAUUGAUCAGAAUAUUUAUGGUUAGCAGUCAUCCCUGAAGUUUUACAUUAAAAUCUUUACUUGUGUUGUGAACUUUGGUAAGAAGCAGAAAUGUUAGCGUUGCCAUGGAUAUAUGAGUGUUAAAUUCUGUCCAUGUUUCCAUUUUGGGAAAUUCAGUCCAGUUCCAGAAUGUGGAGGAAUUUAGUCUCACAAUCACAGACAACAAAUAUUAUCUGAAAGUUGGGUUAUUGUUGUUUAUCAGCACAAUACAAAAAGAUUAAUGUUAGAAAUAUUCCAGUUAAGACUCUAGAAUAUCAUGAGUUAUGUAAAUUUACCUCAAUAAUAUGAAUGUUCAGGUUAAGAUUGUACAGUGAUAUUUAUUAUGUAAGUUUAGCUGAUUAAAGUUUAUAACUCUGCACUAAAAUAUUAUUUAAAUUGACAUCAUUAUUAUAAUAUUUAGGGUCAGACCCUACAGUAUUGAGAUUAAGAAAUCAAAUAUUCUAUAAAAUGUAAAUACACUGAACUCAUUUGGAGAUAUUUAAGUGAGACUCUACAAUAUUGUUUGACACAAAUCUAUCUAAAUCAAAAUUUUAAUAAUUUUCACGCCAAUUUUCAUGGACUGAUUUAAAUAUUAAAAUCACUCCUUUCUAAUCCUCUGCUGUACGUUCAAACCUGAGGCCUUAAAUAGAAACACAAGGAUAUGAUUGAAGGAACUUCUGCAGAGUCCUGGUUCCAGAACAUGAUGAUAGAAUUAUAGACAAACUUUAACAAAAGCUGCCUGAGAGUUUACAGGUUUUUAUGUUAGAUUUCUUCAGUAAUUUAAUGAGCGUUAUCAGCAAUAAUCAAGUGUUCAUUUGAUGAACUUCAUUUCCUAAAACAUCCAGAAUUGGAGCUCAUAUCUUUGGCAGCUGUAAAGUUUCUGCUCCUUCAAAGUUCACAACACAAUGAAUGAAUUCCUAAAACACUCUCAAUGCUGGAGAGCGUUUGUGAUGCUGAAGCAGUGACCAGUUUUUCUGUUUCUUCUCUGGAGAUGCACAAUGAGGGACGUCUGCAGAGACUGAGAAAGAGUCUCACCACAUCCUGACAUGAGGAAAAAGACUUUAUUGAAGACUACAAUGAGAAAAACUAUCAGACAACAGACAGCUGCAUUCAAGGUGAGCUCUGAACAUUUGAUCUGGAACAGGAAUUCAAUAACUGCAGCAUGAGCUUCAUUUCAGUCUGUAGCUGCUGAAUUCAUGGAUGAAUCAUCUGGCACUAGAGAGGAAGACCAUCAAACAUCCACGUCAGCUGAUGGAGGUCCAAGAGUCUCACCAAACAAACAACCUACAGAGUGAAGACCUCAAAUCUGAUUGGACGGCCUCCUAUUCAGCCACGUGUGAACAAAUGCCUCUAAGUUGAUUUGUUUUCUAAAAUAAAUCUAGUUUGAGUCCUAA